Molecule: ribosomal RNA, 460 nt
Filed under: uncultured bacterium
Lineage: Bacteria
Description: partial 16S ribosomal RNA
Rfam family: Bacterial small subunit ribosomal RNA
Source: RNAcentral
CCUACGGGUGGCAGCAGUGAGGAAUAUUGGUCAAUGGGCGCGAGCCUGAACCAGCCAAGUAGCGUGAAGGAUGACUGCCCUACGGGUUGUAAACUUCUUUUAUAAAGGAAUAAAGUGCGGCACGUGUGCCUUUUUGUAUGUACCUUAUGAAUAAGGAUCGGCUAACUCCGUGCCAGCAGCCGCGGUAAUACGGAGGGUCCGAGCGUUAUCCGGAUUUAUUGGGUUUAAAGGGAGCGUAGAUGGGUUGUUAAGUCAGUUGUGAAAGUUUGCGGCUCAACCGUAAAAUUGCAAUUGAAACUGGCAGGCUUGAGUGCAGUUGAGGUAGGCGGAAUUCGUGGUGUAGCGGUGAAAUGCUUAGAUAUCACGAAGAACUCCGAUUGCGAAGGCAGCUUACUAAACUGCAACUGACGUUGAUGCUCGAAAGUGUGGGUAUCAAACAGGAUUAGAUACCCCAGUAGUC